AUUGAACGCUGGCGGCAUGCCUUACACAUGCAAGUCGAACGGUAGAGUAGCAAUACUUGAGAGUGGCGAACGGGUGAGUAAUAUAUCGGAACGUGCCCAGUCGUGGGGGAUAACGUAGAGAAAUUUACGCUAAUACCGCAUACGAUCUAAGGAUGAAAGCGGGGGAUUCGCAAGAACCUCGCGCGAUUGGAGCGGCUGAUAUCAGAUUAGGUUGUUGGUGAGGUAAAAGACUCACCAAGCCGACGAUCUGUAGCUGGUCUGAGAGGACGACCAGCCACACUGGGACUGAGACACGGCCCAGACUCCUACGGGAGGCAGCAGUGGGGAAUUUUUGGACAAUGGGCGCAAGCCUGAUCCAGCAAUGCCGCGUGCAGGAUGAAGGCCU
This 385-nucleotide ribosomal RNA is filed under the name uncultured bacterium. Its description in RNAcentral is "bacterial SSU rRNA". It matches the Rfam family "Bacterial small subunit ribosomal RNA", at positions 30 to 417 of the family's 1533-position model. The record is from RNAcentral.